GACGAACGCUGGCGGCGGGCUUAACACAUGCAAGUCGAACGGAAAGGCCCUGCUUUUUUGGGGUGCUCGAGUGGCGAACGGGUGAGUAACACGUGAGUAACCUGCCCUUGACUUUGGUAUAACUUCAGGAAACUGGGGCUAAUACCGUAUAGGAGCUCCUGCUGCAUGGUAGGGGUUGGAAAGUUUCGGCGGUUGGGGAUGGACGCGCGGCUUAUCAGCUUGUUGGUGGGGUAGUGGCUUACCAAGGCUUUGACGGGUAGCCGGCCUGAGAGGGUGACCGGCCACAUUGGGACUGAGAUACGGCCCAGACUCCUACGGGAGGCAGCAGUGGGGAAUAUUGCACAAUGGGCGGAAGCCUGAUGCAGCAACGCCGCGUGCGGGAUGACGGCCUUCGGGUUGUAAACCGCUUUCGCCUGUGACGAAGCGUGAGUGACGGUAAUGGGUAAAGAAGCACCGGCUAACUACGUG
RNAcentral lists this ribosomal RNA (468 nucleotides) under uncultured bacterium. Its description in RNAcentral is "partial 16S ribosomal RNA". It matches the Rfam family "Bacterial small subunit ribosomal RNA", at positions 28 to 507 of the family's 1533-position model. The record is from RNAcentral.